UGGCCACUAUGAUGUUGGCUCGACUCACUCAGACGACACCGGCCGGAGCGAUGCGUGCGUGCUAGCUCGACGGCGUGUUUCUGAUUGAGCCGUGCCAAUAUCUUAGUGCUCUUU
Molecule: microRNA precursor, 114 nt
Filed under: Brachypodium distachyon (stiff brome)
Lineage: Eukaryota; Viridiplantae; Streptophyta; Magnoliopsida; Poales; Poaceae
Source: RNAcentral